AUUGAACGCUGGCGGCAGGCCUAACACAUGCAAGUCGAACGAGUGGCGGACGGGUGAGUAAUGUCUGGGAAACUGACUGAUGGAGGGGGAUAACUACUGGAAACUGUAGCUAAUACCGCAUACCAUCAGAUGGGCCCAAGUGGGAUUAGCGUGUUGGUGGGGUAAAGGCUCACCAAGACGACGAUCCCUAGCUGGUCUGAGAGGAUGACCAGCCACACGGGAACUGAGACACGGUCCAGACUCCUACGGGAGGCAGCAGUGGGGAAUAUUGCACAAUGGGCGCAAGCCUGAUGCAGCCAUGCCGCGUGUAUGAAGAAGGCCUUCGGGUUGUAAAGUACUUUCAGCUGGGAGGCGUUACCCACAGAAGAAGCACCGGCUAACUCCGUGCCAGCAGCCGCGGUAAUUC
Molecule: ribosomal RNA, 406 nt
Filed under: uncultured bacterium
Lineage: Bacteria
Description: partial 16S ribosomal RNA
Rfam family: Bacterial small subunit ribosomal RNA
Source: RNAcentral